AAAAAAGACUUGAGACUGUUAAACACAUUUUACAUAAAACAAAAUCGUUGUAUAUACUGAACUUUCUAAAGAUACCUCUUUUUUUUAUGUUAUUAACUUACUUGCAAUGUUUUUACUCUUCUAAAUGAAUCUCUAAGUGUUAGUGUCUACCUUUUGACAAAUGGGAGAACUGAAAGGACACAACGUGACACUAAGCUUACAAGACAGAAAAAAAACAAGCAGAGAUACUUCUCAAAGACAGCCCUUUUGAAGCUGAAGACCCCAAACAUACGAGGUUAUAAAGCCUGUUAUCUUCUGUACACCAUUGAAUGUUUGGCCUUUUAUCACAUAGUCUUUUCAGACAUUGAAGAUUUUCAUCCAUAUAUGCAACGAAACAAGAACAACUUCCAGAAAAAAAAAGAUAAAUUUCAUUUGUGCAGCCUUUUACUCAGACAUGAAAGCCAUGUCUGAAAAAAGCCACCUGCUUCUUUAUUGUUUGAUAUCAGAGGCAGAAUAAUGUCUGAUUUUAAUAUCGUACUUCACUAAUUUGUCCUGUGACAUCAAUGAAUCAAAGUAGAGUUCCUGACAGAAGAACAUCAAGAGGAAAUUAAUCUCUCUGUGAUAGUAUUAAUAAUUUCAGAAUGCCCAUGUUUUGCUCAAUUAUUGUAACCAUUGAAAGCUGUGUUUUUGGGGACUGUUAGAUCAAUAUCACAAUUGCUACACAAAUCGAGUGUGUAAGAGUGGUACUCUUUGGUGGCCAGUCAGGAGUGUCAUUACUGAUAGGAAAGAAGUUUGCUAAGCCUUCUUGGGAGAAUUUUGUGACAACUUAAGGAAAGGAGACAUGAAAUUGGUGGGGAAGGGGGGAAACUGGGUGAAAAAAGUCACUUUUCAAAAUAUCAGAGAAGAUGGUAGGCCUGUGAUUCAAGGUGGAAUCAGCAGAGUGUAACACAUAACGAACUGUGUGAUACUGGAAAAAAUGAGUAUGUAUUAUGCCUGUUGUAGCUACACAGUAUGAUACUCACUGACUGACUAGGACUGUAUUUAGGGUUCCAGUUCUGUGCUGAGAAUGGAACUAAAUGAACACACAGGUCCAAAUGUGUCACUGAAAUAAAUAUUGGCAGUAUGGAUGUGUGAUCA
Molecule: long non-coding RNA, 1116 nt
Filed under: Anser brachyrhynchus (Pink-footed goose)
Lineage: Eukaryota; Metazoa; Chordata; Aves; Anseriformes; Anatidae
Description: lncRNA (ENSABRG00000000950.1)
Source: RNAcentral